UACAGAGGGUGCAAGCGUUGCUCGGAAUUACUGGGCGUAAAGCGUGUGUAGGCGGUCCUUAAAGUGGGGUGUGAAAGCCCUGGGCUCAACCCAGGAACUGCGCCCCAAACUGCAGGACUUGAGUGUCGGAGAGGAUAGUGGAAUUCCCAGUGUAGAGGUGAAAUUCGUAGAUAUUGGGAGGAACACCAGUGGCGAAGGCGGCUAUCUGGACGAACACUGACGCUGAGACACGAAAGCGUGGGGAGCAAACAGG
RNAcentral lists this ribosomal RNA (253 nucleotides) under uncultured bacterium. RNAcentral describes it as "partial 16S ribosomal RNA". It matches the Rfam family "Bacterial small subunit ribosomal RNA", at positions 524 to 776 of the family's 1533-position model. The record is from RNAcentral.